ACAUGCAAGUCGAACGGUGAAGCCCAGCUUGCUGGGUGGAUCAGUGGCGAACGGGUGAGUAACACGUGAGCAACCUGCCCCUGACUCUGGGAUAAGCGCUGGAAACGGCGUCUAAUACUGGAUAUGUGACGUGGCCGCAUGGUCUGCGUCUGGAAAGAAUUUCGGUUGGGGAUGGGCUCGCGGCCUAUCAGCUUGUUGGUGAGGUAAUGGCUCACCAAGGCGUCGACGGGUAGCCGGCCUGAGAGGGUGACCGGCCACACUGGGACUGAGACACGGCCCAGACUCCUACGGGAGGCAGCAGUGGGGAAUAUUGCACAAUGGGCGCAAGCCUGAUGCAGCAACGCCGCGUGAGGGAUGACGGCCUUCGGGUUGUAAACCUCUUUUAGCAGGGAAGAAGCGAAAGUGACGGUACCUGCAGAAAAAGCGCCGGCUAACUACGUGCCAGCAGCCGCGGUAAUACGUAGGGCGCAAGCGUUAUCCGGAAUUAUUGGGCGUAAAGAGCUCGUAGGCGGUUUGUCGCGUCUGCUGUGAAAUCCGGAGGCUCAACCUCCGGCCUGCAGUGGGUACGGGCAGACUAGAGUGCGGUAGGGGAGAUUGGAAUUCCUGGUGUAGCGGUGGAAUGCGCAGAUAUCAGGAGGAACACCGAUGGCGAAGGCAGAUCUCUGGGCCGUAACUGACGCUGAGGAGCGAAAGGGUGGGGAGCAAACAGGCUUAGAUACCCUGGUAGUCCACCCCGUAAACGUUGGGAACUAGUUG
RNAcentral lists this ribosomal RNA (756 nucleotides) under Microbacterium maritypicum. Its description in RNAcentral is "bacterial SSU rRNA". It matches the Rfam family "Bacterial small subunit ribosomal RNA", at positions 53 to 822 of the family's 1533-position model. Lineage: Bacteria; Bacillati; Actinomycetota; Actinomycetes; Micrococcales; Microbacteriaceae. The record is from RNAcentral.